This 347-nucleotide ribosomal RNA is filed under the name uncultured bacterium. RNAcentral describes it as "partial 16S ribosomal RNA". It matches the Rfam family "Bacterial small subunit ribosomal RNA", at positions 338 to 682 of the family's 1533-position model. The record is from RNAcentral.
CCUACGGGAGGCAGCAGUGAGGAAUAUUGGUCAAUGGGCGCGAGCCUGAACCAGCCAAGUAGCGUGAAGGAUGACUGCCCUACGGGUUGUAAACUUCUUUUAUAAAGGAAUAAAGUGAGGCACGUGUGCCUUUUUGUAUGUACGUUAUGAAUAAGGAUCGGAUAACUCCGUGCAAGCAGCCGCGGUAAUACGGAGGAUCCGAGCGUUAUCCGGAUUUAUUGGGGUUAAAGGGAGCGUAGAUGGGUUGUUAAGUCAGGUGUGAAAGUUUGCGGCUCAACCGGAAAAUUGCAAUUGAUACUGGCAGCCUUGAGUACAGUUGAGGUAGGCGGAAUUCGUGGUGUAGCGGU